Lutra lutra (Eurasian river otter) is the source of this 1103-nucleotide long non-coding RNA. RefSeq lists it as uncharacterized. Lineage: Eukaryota; Metazoa; Chordata; Mammalia; Carnivora; Mustelidae. The record is from RefSeq and is a predicted model, not a curated record. The transcript is spliced from 2 exons.
CUGAGUCUGCAGGUGCGUUUCAGACCCGGGUGGAGGCAGCCUAAGUCUGGCGGAGUUGAACACUCGAGUCAAGAAGACCCGGGAUGGUUAAGACAGGACGGUCAACAGCUUUCAGCUGAAAUCUAGAAGUUAAAGGAAGAGCAGAAGCCAGAGCUUUCCACGCGAGCGUGCGCCGGAGCGUCUCGGGAGCCGGCCCUGAUGCUCUGUGCUUGCUGCUGGAAGCCGAAUCCUGUUUUUGGGGAGAGAGGCUCUACUAAUGGGGACUGACGGGGGUGGAAGUGAAGAUAAUGUGCUCUGGAAGGAGAAACGAAAAAAAGCUCCUCUAUGUGAUUCUAUCUCACGGAAGCCAAAACAGGAAAGAUUAGCAAAUCGAGAAUAAAGAGUCUUAUGUUACCGAGAAGACUGGAAAAUGUGUUGUGCUAAGGACACAACGGUGGCCAAAACGGACACGUGGUCUCUGGCUUCAAGGAGCUUAUCCGGAUUAACUACGCAAGUCACAACAGAAUCACAGACGGUGAGUGAACACAGCUCGCUCUCUCCAGCUUUCGGCAGGUGCACUUGCCAUUCCUCUCUGGGACACCCGCCCCGAGCUCCGGCUCACUCAUCAAAAUACAGCUUUUACCCCCUUGGGAAAUGUUCCCGAGACUUCGCAGACGCCCAGCCUGCGGAACGAUCAAGUCCUUCCUCUGCGCACCAGGCUCGCCGUGUCUACCGUGCGGUGCUCACCCUAACCGUAGACCUGGUGUGUUUGCGUGUCUUUGUACACACCAGACUUCAAGGUCUUUCUGAGCUCCUGGGAGGGUACGAGUUUUUUCUUUCUAUCUUGUAUCUCAGAGCCUAGGACAGGAGGUGCAGUGACAGCUCUCGGAAUACGUGAAUGUGAGUUUUACUAACAAGCUGUGUUACACCGGCGCAUACAGAGGAGGCAGCAGUGCAGAACUAUGGCCACCACAGAAGCCCCAACUCGACUGGACUAGACCCCUGUGCUGACCCCAUUUCAAAGCCAAACUAAGGAGAUAAUGCACGUGUCUAUGAUUUACAACCGGAGUUAUACCAAUUUUAGCUAUUUUCAUUAUUACCUAUACAUUUGCAAAGUAAGUGAA